CCUACGGGAGGCAGCAGUGGGGAAUUUUGGACAAUGGGCGCAAGCCUGAUCCAGCAAUGCCGCGUGAGUGAAGAAGGCCUUCGGGUUGUAAAGCUCUUUUGUCAGGGAAGAAACGGUGAGGGCUAAUAUCUCUUGCUAAUGACGGUACCUGAAGAAUAAGCACCGGCUAACUACGUGCCAGCAGCCGCGGUAAUACGUAGGGUGCAAGCGUUAAUCGGAAUUACUGGGCGUAAAGCGUGCGCAGGCGGUUUUGUAAGUCUGUCGUGAAAUCCCCGGGCUCAACCUGGGAAUUGCG
RNAcentral lists this ribosomal RNA (295 nucleotides) under uncultured bacterium. Its description in RNAcentral is "partial 16S ribosomal RNA". It matches the Rfam family "Bacterial small subunit ribosomal RNA", at positions 338 to 625 of the family's 1533-position model. The record is from RNAcentral.